Molecule: non-coding RNA, 23 nt
Filed under: Arabidopsis thaliana (thale cress)
Lineage: Eukaryota; Viridiplantae; Streptophyta; Magnoliopsida; Brassicales; Brassicaceae
Source: RNAcentral
ACCAAUCUCGGGAUCGGCAGCCA